CCUACGGGAGGCAGCAGUGGGGAAUUUUGGACAAUGGGCGCAAGCCUGAUCCAGCCAUGCCGCGUGGGUGAAGAAGGCCUUCGGGUUGUAAAGCUCUUUUGUCCGGGAGCAAGUCCUACUGGCUAAUAUCUGGUGGGGAUGAGAGUACUGGAAGAAUAAGCACCGGCUAACUACGUGCCAGCAGCCGCGGUAAU
Molecule: ribosomal RNA, 194 nt
Filed under: uncultured beta proteobacterium
Lineage: Bacteria; Pseudomonadati; Pseudomonadota; Betaproteobacteria
Description: partial 16S ribosomal RNA
Rfam family: Bacterial small subunit ribosomal RNA
Source: RNAcentral